This 202-nucleotide unclassified non-coding RNA is filed under the name Hevea brasiliensis (rubber tree). Lineage: Eukaryota; Viridiplantae; Streptophyta; Magnoliopsida; Malpighiales; Euphorbiaceae. The record is from RNAcentral.
GGCGUCCCUAUAUCAAUCCAUGUGUAAUGUAACCAGUCAAGCUCAUUUCCGAAAAAUAAAGUCUCGCUGCCCUGUACGGGAAACAGCAACUGAUUCUGAGAACCGAGCUUCAUUCCGCUUCAAGUCACUACCCAGUAACAACUGAAAGUACUCUAAGCUAUUCCUUCUGGGCCAGGAAUCGAGACUCACAUUACGAUUCCUA